UUAAUGGAGAGUUUGAUCCUGGCUCAGGACGAACGCUGGCGGCGUGCCUAAUACAUGCAAGUCGAGCGGGGUUGUUUAGAAGCUUGCUUCUAAACAACCUAGCGGCGGACGGGUGAGUAACACGUAGGCAACCUGCCCACAAGACAGGGAUAACUAACGGAAACGGUAGCUAAUACCCGAUACAUCCUUUUCCUGCAUGGGAGAAGGAGGAAAGACGGAGCAAUCUGUCACUUGUGGAUGGGCCUGCGGCGCAUUAGCUAGUUGGUGGGGUAAAGGCCUACCAAGGCGACAAUGC
Molecule: ribosomal RNA, 295 nt
Filed under: Paenibacillus polymyxa
Lineage: Bacteria; Bacillati; Bacillota; Bacilli; Caryophanales; Paenibacillaceae
Description: partial 16S ribosomal RNA
Rfam family: Bacterial small subunit ribosomal RNA
Source: RNAcentral